UACGGAGUGUGCAAGCGUUACUCGGAAUCACUGGGCAUAAAGGGCGUGUAGGCGGGUUUUCAAGUCGGUUGUGAAAUCCCUCAGCUCAACUGAGGAACUGCAUCCGAUACUGUUUGUCUUGAGGACGAGAGGGGAGAGUGGAACUUCUGGUGGAGCGGUGAAAUGCGUAGAUAUCAGAAGGAACGCCGGUGGCGAAAGCGACUCUCUGGCUCGUAUCUGACGCUGAAACGCGAAAGCUUGGGUAGCAAACGGG
RNAcentral lists this ribosomal RNA (253 nucleotides) under uncultured bacterium. RNAcentral describes it as "partial 16S ribosomal RNA". It matches the Rfam family "Bacterial small subunit ribosomal RNA", at positions 524 to 776 of the family's 1533-position model. The record is from RNAcentral.